GAACUUAAGCAUAUCAAUAAGCGGAGGAAAAGAAACCAACAGGGAUUGCCUCAGUAACGGCGAGUGAAGCGGCAACAGCUCAAAUUUGAAAUCUGGCUCACGCCCGAGUUGUAAUUUGUAGAGGAUGUUUCGGGUGAAGCCGCGGUCCAAGUCCCUUGGAACAGGACGUCAUAGAGGGUGAGAACCCCGUACCUGGCCGCCGGUGCCCCCCGCUGUGAAACUCCUUCGACGAGUCGAGUUGUUUGGGAAUGCAGCUCUAAAUUGGUGGUAAAUUCCAUCUAAAGCUAAAUACCGGCCAGAGACCGAUAGCGCACAAGUAGAGUGAUCGAAAGAUGAAAAGCACUUUGAAAAGAGAGUUAAAAAGUACGUGAAAUUGUUGAAAGGGAAGCGCUUGCGGCCAGACUUGCCCGCGGUUGCUCAGCCCGCCUUUUGGCGGGUGCACUCUUCCGCGGUCAGGCCAGCAUCGGUUUGGGCGGCCGGAUAAAGGCGCUGGGAACGUGGCCUCCCCUCGGGGAGGUGUUAUAGCCCGGCGCGCAAUGCGACCAGCCCGGACCGAGGUUCGCGCUUUGCUAGGAUGCUGGCGUAAUGGCCGUAAGCGGCCCGUCUUGAAACACGGACCAAGGAGUCUAACAUCUAUGCGAGUGUUUGGGUGUCAAACCCGUGCGCGUAAUGAAAGUGAACGGAGGUGGGAACCGCAAGGUGCACCAUCGACCGAUCCUGAUGUCUUCGGAAGGAUUUGAGUAAGAGCAUAGCUGUUGGGACCCGAAA
Molecule: ribosomal RNA, 768 nt
Filed under: uncultured fungus
Lineage: Eukaryota; Fungi
Description: eukaryotic LSU rRNA
Rfam family: Eukaryotic large subunit ribosomal RNA
Source: RNAcentral